This is a non-coding RNA of Caenorhabditis elegans, 21 nucleotides long. Lineage: Eukaryota; Metazoa; Nematoda; Chromadorea; Rhabditida; Rhabditidae. The record is from Ensembl.
UCCGGCAUUGAUCUGUGGAGG